CACACCGCCCGUCACACCAUGGGAGUCUACUGCACCAGAAGUAGUUAGCUUAACCGCAAGGGGGGCGAUUACCACGGUGAGCUUCAUGACUGGGGUG
RNAcentral lists this ribosomal RNA (97 nucleotides) under uncultured bacterium. RNAcentral's name for it is "partial 16S ribosomal RNA". It matches the Rfam family "Bacterial small subunit ribosomal RNA", at positions 1386 to 1482 of the family's 1533-position model. The record is from RNAcentral.